Molecule: ribosomal RNA, 904 nt
Filed under: uncultured Flavobacteriaceae bacterium
Lineage: Bacteria; Pseudomonadati; Bacteroidota; Flavobacteriia; Flavobacteriales; Flavobacteriaceae
Description: bacterial SSU rRNA
Rfam family: Bacterial small subunit ribosomal RNA
Source: RNAcentral
UUACACAUGCAAGUCGAGGGGUAUAGUUCUUCGGAGCUAGAGACCGGCGCACGGGUCCUUAACGCGUAUGCAAUCUACCUUUUACAGAGGGAUAGCCCAGAGAAAUUUGGAUUAAUACCUCAUAGUAUGUGAGAAUCGCAUGGUUUUCACAUUAAAGUCACAACGGUAAAAGAUGAGCAUGCGUCCCAUUAGCUAGAUGGUAAGGUAACGGCUUACCAUGGCAACGAUGGGUAGGGGUCCUGAGAGGGAGAUCCCCCACACUGGUACUGAGACACGGACCAGACUCCUACGGGAGGCAGCAGUGAGGAAUAUUGGACAAUGGGCGCAAGCCUGAUCCAGCCAUGCCGCGUGCAGGAUGACGGUCCUAUGGAUUGUAAACUGCUUUUGUACAGGAAGAAACACUCCCUCGUGAGGGAGCUUGACGGUACUGUAAGAAUAAGGAUCGGCUAACUCCGUGCCAGCAGCCGCGGUAAUACGGAGGAUCCAAGCGUUAUCCGGAAUCAUUGGGUUUAAAGGGUCCGUAGGCGGUUUAAUAAGUCAGUGGUGAAAGCCCAUCGCUCAACGGUGGAACGGCCAUUGAUACUGUUAAACUUGAAUUAUUAGGAAGUAACUAGAAUAUGUAGUGUAGCGGUGAAAUGCUUAGAGAUUACAUGGAAUACCAAUUGCGAAGGCAGGUUACUACUAAUGGAUUGACGCUGAUGGACGAAAGCGUGGGUAGCGAACAGGAUUAGAUACCCUGGUAGUCCACGCCGUAAACGAUGGAUACUAGCUGUUGGGAGCAAUCUCAGUGGCUAAGCGAAAGUGAUAAGUAUCCCACCUGGGGAGUACGUUCGCAAGAAUGAAACUCAAAGGAAUUGACGGGGGCCCGCACAAGCGGUGGAGCAUGUGGUUUGAUUCGAUGAUA